CGUCUAUGUUUCUUGGAACAGAACGUCACAGAGGGUGAGAAUCCCGUGCGAUGAGAUGUCCCAGACCUAUGUAAAGUUCCUUCGAAGAGUCGAGUUGUUUGGGAAUGCAGCUCUAAGUGGGUGGUAAAUUCCAUCUAAAGCUAAAUAUUGGCGAGAGACCGAUAGCGAACAAGUACAGUGAUGGAAAGAUGAAAAGAACUUUGAAAAGAGAGUGAAAAAGUACGUGAAAUUGUUGAAAGGGAAGGGCUUGAGAUCAGACUUGGUAUUUUGUAUGUUACUCUCUCGGGGGUGGCCUCUACAGUUUACCGGGCCAGCAUCAGUUUGAGCGGUAGGAUAAGUGCAAAGAAAUGUGGCACUGCUUCGGUAGUGUGUUAUAGUCUUUGUCGAUACUGCCAGCUUAGACUGAGGACUGCGGCUUCGGCCUAGGAUGUUGGCAUAAUGAUCUUAAGUCGCCCGUCUUGAAACACGGACCAAGGAGUCUAACGUCUAUGCGAGUGUUUGGGUGUAAAACCCGUACGCGUAAUGAAAGUGAACGUAGGUAGGACCUCCUUUAGGAGUGCACUAUCGACCGAUCCUGAUGUCUUCGGAUGGAUUUGAGUAAGAGCAUAGCUGUUGGGACCCGAAAGAUGGUGAACUAUGCCUGAAUAGGGUGAAGCCAGAGGAAACUCUGGUGGAGGCUCGUAGCGGUUCUGACGUGCAAAUCGAUCGUCGAAUUUGGGUAUAGGGCG
This 728-nucleotide ribosomal RNA is filed under the name Lodderomyces parapsilosis. RNAcentral describes it as "Candida parapsilosis partial large subunit ribosomal RNA". It matches the Rfam family "Eukaryotic large subunit ribosomal RNA", at positions 178 to 925 of the family's 3401-position model. The record is from RNAcentral. Lineage: Eukaryota; Fungi; Ascomycota; Pichiomycetes; Serinales; Debaryomycetaceae.